Molecule: long non-coding RNA, 377 nt
Organism: Terrapene triunguis (Three-toed box turtle)
Lineage: Eukaryota; Metazoa; Chordata; Testudines; Emydidae
Exons: 4
Source: RefSeq, a predicted model, not a curated record
CUUGGUAUUGCUAUCAUUAUUAUUACGUCUAAUAAACACCAUGUCUGUUUAUGGAACUGUAUAAAAGGUAACACCAGUAUAUAGAAAAUGUUGAUUCAGGGAUUUCCCCAUGAGAUCGUGAAUAGGUAAUCAGCUGGACAACGGCUUUCUCCUCAAGGCCUAGCUUCCAAAGGAUGGGUCCGUCCUGAGGGUUGGCAAAUACCAAGAGUGGCAGGUAAUGCAGCCAUAGAACAAGAGCUACUGCAGUUUUCAAAUUGUGCUCCCAGGAUUUGGGAAAACAGGGCCAGCUCUCUCUCAGCCCUCUAAAAGGACCUGCUUGUACUGUGUUAAGAGAGCUGUACUUAGAAAGAGGAGAACAAGGUUUGUUCAUAAUGAGC